UGUGUUCGCUAGGGGUGGCUGGUUUUUUGCCGGUCUGAGACAGUCCCUAUGAACCUGAUCAGGAUAGCCUUUUGGCGUACCUGCGUAGGGAAGCGGCGGCAGUUGAGA
This 108-nucleotide non-coding RNA is filed under the name Anaerohalosphaera lusitana. Its description in RNAcentral is "Phycisphaerae bacterium ST-NAGAB-D1 TPP riboswitch aptamer (THI element)". It matches the Rfam family "TPP riboswitch aptamer (THI element)". Rfam says of the family: Vitamin B(1) in its active form thiamin pyrophosphate (TPP) is an essential coenzyme that is synthesised by coupling of pyrimidine and thiazole moieties in bacteria. The record is from Rfam by way of RNAcentral. Lineage: Bacteria; Pseudomonadati; Planctomycetota; Phycisphaerae; Sedimentisphaerales; Anaerohalosphaeraceae. RNAcentral also lists the same sequence under 1 other name.